AAUCCUAUAGUCAAUAAAUGAUAUUAAAUUGCAAAUUUAAAGUAGUAAAAAUACUAGGAUUU
RNAcentral lists this transfer RNA (62 nucleotides) under unidentified. Its description in RNAcentral is "Capodemus sinuatus tRNA-Cys". The record is from RNAcentral.